GGGGCAGGCCGGGAAUUGAAGUCAUCACUAGAGAAGGCGCUCGGGAGCUCGUUCCUCACGUGGCUACUGGAGCGCCGGCUUUCUUCUUGUUUUGCUUCCUCCUCUGCCCGCGUGUGUGGCUACUGUGUCAUGUGGUCGGCGGUUUUCAGUAAUGUUAGCUGAAAUGUAGGAAACCAAAAUUCUACGAAACUUAACUGAUUCGGAGAAAGCGAGGACCUGUCUUUUCUGCCCCGCCUUCUGUAGAUAGGUAUCUGACGGGGGCGGUGUGGCGGUAGAAUCAGGUUGAGCAUUGCAAGAGCGCGGGAUUUGAUCUAGAGUGAGGCUUUGAUACUUUUGGGAAAGUGAAUGUUAAUUCGUUUCCCGGUCUUGGCGCGCCCUGACACCAGUACGGUUGAGCUCAUCCUCCUUACGGUAAAAUCACUAGUGAAGAAAUACCUGAAUUGCCUUGUGCACGUUUCUCAAGAGAGUAGCAUGCGUUGCUGGUGAUGUGAAAAGAAUGUGGACUUAACUGCAUACUCUUGUUGGCUACGAGUUCAGCCUGCACAAAUGUGUGGGUCAGGUUCGCAAACUGCGCAAAUAAACACGUCUCAAAGGACAUAAUGCAACCGCAGCCGGUUCGAGCACCGAGAAACCUUAAGUAACAAAAUCAAUUUACUGGACUUCCCGGGUUGCCUCCUAGAACUCUGGUGUGAGUGGCGCUUCUGAAGCGGUCGUUCUGUUUAGUGCCUGUAUUCCUAUUCAUAUAUUCUGCUGUGUUGCAAAUGGAUUGAAGAAAAACAAGAAUGAACUUGGAACAACUAAGUAAGAGAGUAUUUUAGUCAUCCAGAUGGUUACUCUGAUUGUGGUGGCAGCGAAGACAGGAGAAAGGUAAUAAAUCCAAGAUACAUUCUUAGAGAUUGAAAUGACAAGACUGCGUGAUAAAGUGGAAAUGAAGGCGUUCUCCUGAAUGAGUCCCGUUUUUCUGGAUUGAAUGGCCUUGCAGAUGGGGGCUCCUCUGGUUUCAAAGAAGAAGAGGAAGGCGAUGACGAUUGAAAUAUCCUGUAUGAAAUGGAAGACGAGAACUUCGUUGAAAGUCCGCACGACUUCAGAAGAGUAGUGACUGCCCACGUGAACCGGGCUCCUGACCCUUGCCAACCAGCAGAACCUGGUUCCCUGGUCUUCUCUCCUCCACUGCUCCCCACUGAUCUCUGCAGCAUCUGUGGACUCCGGAGGACAAGACUCGGUGAAUUCAUCUACUUUAUUGCUGCCCUGCAGCUGUCACCACCCUCUUCUCUGACAUCAGAAGCCAGCAUGCUUGGUCAUCCAACGUGAACUGAAGACUAGUGACUCUCCAGGAAUCUUCCAGGCCUUCAGCACCAGAUUACCUCUGCUGAGGAGGAAUCCAGCUACAUGGACCAAGUAGCUAUUGGGUUCCCAGCUUCUCCAGAGCAUAGCUGUGUUUGGACUAACGAGCUUAUGGUAUGUAAGACAAUCUAAUAAAGCCAGUUUUUAAUGUA
This is a non-coding RNA of Rattus norvegicus (Norway rat), 1496 nucleotides long. The record is from RefSeq and is a predicted model, not a curated record. NCBI's taxonomy places the organism in Eukaryota, Metazoa, Chordata, Mammalia, Rodentia, Muridae.